This is a long non-coding RNA of Rattus norvegicus (Norway rat), 657 nucleotides long. RefSeq lists it as uncharacterized. The record is from RefSeq and is a predicted model, not a curated record. NCBI's taxonomy places the organism in Eukaryota, Metazoa, Chordata, Mammalia, Rodentia, Muridae.
UUCUAUGACAUCAUCCAUUCUGUGACGUCAUCCAUUCUAUGACUGACACCCUCCCGGCUCUGAGAGGUCUAAAUGCCAUAUUUUUCUCCAAUGCCUUUCUUGUCUUGUUUGGUUUUCCACACUUAACCCAGAAUGUAUGUGGAAUGUGGCUUAAGGCAUGCAGCCACAGAAGAGUUCCCAAAAGCAAAAGCCAAAGCCACAGGCAUCCGGAGGGACAGACUCCACAGCCAUUUCUAUGGUUUGAAUAAUCUUCUGGAGGACCAUACCCUAGGACCUAGAGUUACGCGCCACCACUAAGGAAGCAGAAGAGCCCACAAGAACGGGGUAUCUGGUAAGGGAGGGGGCAGGGCAGCAUCCGGGCACCGGCUCAGAGGCUUCCAGGAGACGGCAGAACUCUGGAGAGCCUACUCAAGAGAAUGACUUUGUGAAGAGGAAGACUAAGGUGACAAUGGCAGCUUGGAAACCACCCAGAGACAAGAAGUAAGCUUCAAAAUAAUCCAAGUUGAAAAUGGCCGUCCCUGAGGAGAGAGAAGUGCAGAGGAAGGCAGAUGACUGGGAUAACGUAGCAAAAUGUGGAAAGUGAGAUUUAACUCUCCAGGUUUCAUUAGAAUGAACUUUUAACAAAAUUUAACAAAUAAUUAAAUGAUGGCAAUCUUA